Molecule: long non-coding RNA, 303 nt
Organism: Schistocerca cancellata (South American locust)
Lineage: Eukaryota; Metazoa; Arthropoda; Insecta; Orthoptera; Acrididae
Exons: 3
Source: RefSeq, a predicted model, not a curated record
GGUGAUAUUUCACGUGGUUGGGUGUGUUUUAACAACUAAUGAUACGAUGUUGUGCUUACUGCAGGGACUGGCAAUUCUCACCGCCAUGGCAUUUCUUUAUUUUUAUCUUGACUGGGUUCGCAUGUUACGCAGACCACCACGACAACUUGAGAACGAGAUACCGCUAGAGGAUCUAAUAUUAUUGGCCGACGAAAAAGGAGAAUUACCAUCGGAAGAAGACUAAUGAAUGACGCUUCGAUUCACUUAUUCACUCUACAUGGGCUUAAUAGCGAAACUGAGUACUAUUUUCUGUAUUAGUAUAUA